UAAACACAAAUUAGGAACUCCCAAAGAACUUCAUGGCGGUCUGCAAGCCAGUCUUCCAGCUGCCAAGACCUAUGUUAUAGUGUUGGAAUUGCCAGAAAAAACACAACUGUUGUCCCAAGGAAUCUGCACAUCAUCUUUGAGACCGGAGGACCGCGGAAAUGGACUGAAGGGUUACUGGUCACAAGAGUGGGACCUGGGUCCUAUCUCUGGCCCAGGGUGGAGUCAUGACAUUCUGAGCUGCUGGAAAACCAGCUGUGUGAUUGCUGAUGACGUUCUGAGCUGCUGAGAAGCCAGCAGACACUUCCUGGUAAAGACUGAAAACAUUGCAGUCUCUUUCUUUCACGUUUCAUCCCAUGGGCCUGCCAAUCUCUGGGGUAGGAAGGCACUCUUCAGGAGGGCCACGUUCUAGAGAAGUGCCGUGAAGCCUGCCUGCAGAUAGAGCUGGGUACAGCUGUGUCUCCUUUCACUGCCCACCAGCCCUCCAGAGCUGCUUGUAGGGUCCCUGUGACCACUGUCCAUCUAGCCCUGCUGGAGUGCUUUCCCUGCAGCAAUCCCUGUGGCCUUUGACUCCUCUCCUCGAGAGGCAGCCUACUUUACCCUGUAAUGAACCCUGCCCGCUCACACACCUUGCUGCAUGCCCCUUUUGAAUUCAUUUGAUGGAGACCUCAGGGUGAGGAGCUGAGGGACGUCAGCGCUGGAUUUCAGUGGCAGCAGCAGGGAGAGCCUCCUGCUUGUGUCGCCAAAGAUGAGGAAGCAGAGCAGACAGGAAGUGGGCUUGGCUGUAAAAUCUUACAGUCUGUCUUUUUCUAGCUAGACUUUACCUCCUGAAGUUUCCGCAGCCUCCCCAAACACCACUGCCAUAUGUUCUAACACACGAGCCUGUGAGAACAUUGCACAUUUAACCAUGUCCGGAAUUAGUGUGGCCAUCUUGAAGGAAGCAGGGUAAGUCAGAGAGGAAUGAACCCAUGCCGGUCCCCAGGGGCCAUGUUGAGCCCGCACAGAUCGUGCAAACCUGGCUAGUUCUGUCAGCUUGACACAGAGAAAACGCCCCUAACAUCUGGCUGUAGGCAGGCCUGUAGAGCAAUUUCUUUAUUAGUGAUUGAUAUGGGAGGACCCAGCCCAUUGUGGCCUGUCCCAGCCUGGUGUCCUGAGUGCUAUAAAAAAGCAGACUGAGUAAGUCUAAGUCAUAAGGAGCAAGCCAGUAAGCAGUUGCCCCUAUGGCCUCUGCAUCAGCUCCUGCCUCCACGUGCUGCCCUGCUUGAGCUCCUCCCUGACUCCUCUGGUGAGGAACAAUGGUGUGGAAGUGUAAUCAGAAUAAACCCUCCCUCCCCAGUGCUUUGGUCACGAUGCUUCACCACAGUGAUGGUAACCCAAACAAGACAUCAGGGCUUUAGGCCAGCCCUUCUUGAAGCAGAUAAACGGAGCCAUUAAAUCCUUCUGAGCCAUCCAUGGAUGGAAACAUGAGCUGUGAUAGCCGAGGGUCACCCCGGGAAGUAUCGCAACCCGCUGCCAUCCUGGGAGCUGGGGUUGACUUUGCGGUUUUUAAAAGAGGCCUGGCAGCGCCCCGUCUCCAUUACUCCUGCGCUCAGGGUGAGUGGAGUGAUCCACAAGUGCCAUUCUACCCAGUGCUCAUGCAUCGUCAGCCAUAAGGAUCACAUUUGCUGCUACUGUCUGCUAGAUCGGUAUCUAUGGAACACUCGAUAUCAGAAGAAACCAGUGGAGUCUGCUGGGAAAGUGCAGAGAUAAAUAAGGAAGGACCACGCCCACACUGACAUAGGAUCCUGGAAGGACUUCUGCUAGUUGACAAAGACAGAGGGGUCACUUAGCGCCUGAUCUCAGCGGGACUGUCUUGGAGUUUUGAAUGCUGUGGUUGAAGCUAUGCCGUGAACAAUACUAAGGGAGAUUUUCUAUAAAGAAAGUCAUUUAUGGAGUA
This is a long non-coding RNA of Myodes glareolus (Bank vole), 1933 nucleotides long. RefSeq lists it as uncharacterized. The record is from RefSeq and is a predicted model, not a curated record. NCBI's taxonomy places the organism in Eukaryota, Metazoa, Chordata, Mammalia, Rodentia, Cricetidae.